AUAGAGAGAAAGAGUAAGAGUGAGCACAAAGCGAACGGUAGAGCUGUUGAAAGGAAAAGCUAGCUCGUGCUUUCGGCGGUUUUGGAAGAGUUUUUUCAACUCGUCAAUGCGCUACAAAGCUUUGGUUAAGCUGAUGCUCUUGAGAACGGAACUUCAAUAUGUUAUUAUAGUAUUUCAGGCUAAUUUUAAUUUUUGAAACUUUCGUAAAAAAUGUAUACAUAUAUUGGGCUAACUUGUCGAGUCGUUUAUGUGAAUUACGUAUGCUUUCAGCAAAUCUAAAUGCCGAGCAAGUGUAGCGCACGUCGACAUAUUCACUUGUUAGGAGCGGGGCAAUAAACUUUUGUGUGGGCGCAUUUAAGAGAAGUCGGUAUUCGUGAACUUGAAAGCAUAUGUAAUAAGAGCUGAGCUGGGCUAAGCAAAGAGCAACGCCAGCAUAUACAUGUGCUUUGGAUAGCUUAUAAGCUCUACAAGCUUGCCACAUGCUUUAAAG
This 490-nucleotide small RNA is filed under the name Drosophila virilis. RNAcentral describes it as "GJ26227". Lineage: Eukaryota; Metazoa; Arthropoda; Insecta; Diptera; Drosophilidae. The record is from RNAcentral.